GAAAUAUUGUUCAUAUCUCGUCUAUGAUUGGGUCCAUUUGACAUAUUUUUACAUAAAGAUAGACUUGAAUGCCUUGUGACUGUCACGAAAUCAGCAAAAGGUUGUAUUGCUGAUGGACCAGGAUUCCUCCAAAAGGCCACAUAAAACUGGUGGAAUACACCUGGAAAGCCCUCCUCCAAGAAAGACAAAAAAUCUCCAAUAAAAACUAGAAGAAGCUUGGGAUUUCAAGCAUGUGAAAAACUGUCAACUCCAAAGCGAUCAGGGUACAUUACUUGGCAAGAGGAGGAUAACAUUGCGUUAGUGAACUUCUUGKUUUCAAAAGGCAUUACUCAAUGGCCGAGCUUUCGUGCUGGACAUCAACUGUGGGCCAAGGCUGCCGUGCAUGUCAGAGAGAGCACUUGUGCUUCUUUCACUAAAUCAGGUAAGCUUCUGUAUGAAUAUACUUGUGCAUAAUGCAUGAUAAUUAAUGGCUUUGAAUGAACACGCGUUUGCCGUCACACGCAAAUAGAAACCCAUAUGGUGAAGCAUUGAGCAUCGUAUAUUAAAGUAUCGAAUUGAAAAUUCAACAGAAACUUAGUAAACAUGGAGUUAGAUCGUAAAGUAUUUGUGUUAAUGUCAGUCGUUCUUUUAAUUGUUUUACAACCUCCAGCACAUUCUAACUCGCAUUUGUAUUUCUUAUUGAGACGAAGAAGAAAAACUGCAACACAACAAAUUCAAUCUAACGGAAUUUAUUUCAUAUUUGAAACCAACAGCAUUUUACCAUUCUUUGUACGAGGUAAUUUAAAUGCUCAAAUCUGUGGUUUAAUACCCACAGCAAAGAGAGGAAACUAGCUAUAUUCGAUGCCAAGACUGAUCAAGAAUGAUAAAGGUCACGUAAGAAAAAAAACAACAACAUGCGAUUUCCUGUGUUUGGAAAUUAUCUGGUCUCUGAUUGGUAGACACACUUUGGGCUUCUGAUAAACCCUACUACUUGAGUCGGGAACUGUCUUGGGUUAUUCUUUUGUUCUUUUUGAUGUAUCUAUGGAGAUAGCCCGUAGGUAAUUUCACCUCGGGUUAAUCGGUUACACACAGAUACGAUUUCACCGUGGGUUAAAAGGUGUUAGCCCAUGGGUAGAAAUCCUAGUGCAACCACAACUAUUGCUUA
Exaiptasia diaphana is the source of this 1144-nucleotide long non-coding RNA. RefSeq lists it as uncharacterized. The record is from RefSeq and is a predicted model, not a curated record. Lineage: Eukaryota; Metazoa; Cnidaria; Anthozoa; Actiniaria; Aiptasiidae. The transcript has 3 exons.